Molecule: ribosomal RNA, 251 nt
Filed under: uncultured bacterium
Lineage: Bacteria
Description: partial 16S ribosomal RNA
Rfam family: Bacterial small subunit ribosomal RNA
Source: RNAcentral
ACGUAGGUGGCAAGCGUUGUCCGGAUUUACUGGGUGUAAAGGGUGCGCAGGCGGGACUGCAAGUUGGAUGUGAAAUACCGGAGCUCAACUCCGGAGCUGCAUCCAAAACUGUAGUUCUUGAGUGAAGUAGAGGUAAGCGGAAUUCCGAGUGUAGCGGUGAAAUGCGUAGAUAUUCGGAGGAACACCAGUGGCGAAGGCGGCUUACUGGGCUUUAACUGACGCUGAGGCACGAAAGCAUGGGUAGCAAACAG